AGUUUGAUCCUGGCUCAGAUUGAACGCUGGCGGCAGGCCUAACACAUGCAAGUCGAGCGGUAACAGAAAGAAAGCUUGCUUUCUUUGCUGACGAGCGGCGGACGGGUGAGUAAUGCCUGGGAAUAUGCCUUGAUGUGGGGGAUAACCAUUGGAAACGAUGGCUAAUACCGCAUAAUGCCUACGGGCCAAAGAGGGGGAUCUUCGGACCUCUCGCGUCAAGAUUAGCCCAGGUGGGAUUAGCUAGUUGGUGAGGUAAUGGCUCACCAAGGCGACGAUCCCUAGCUGGUCUGAGAGGAUGAUCAGCCACACUGGAACUGAGACACGGUCCAGACUCCUACGGGAGGCAGCAGUGGGGAAUAUUGCACAAUGGGCGCAAGCCUGAUGCAGCCAUGCCGCGUGUGUGAAGAAGGCCUUCGGGUUGUAAAGCACUUUCAGUCGUGAGGAAGGUAGUUGCGUUAAUAGCGUAAUUAUUUGACGUUAGCGACAGAAGAAGCACCGGCUAACUCCGUGCCAGCAGCCGCGGUAAUACGGAGGGUGCGAGCGUUAAUCGGAAUUACUGGGCGUAAAGCGCAUGCAGGUGGUUUGUUAAGUCAGAUGUGAAAGCCCGGGGCUCAACCUCGGAAAUUGCAUUUGAAACUGGCAGACUAGAGUACUGUAGAGGGGGGUAGAAUUUCAGGUGUAGCGGUGAAAUGCGUAGAGAUCUGAAGGAAUACCGGUGGCGAAGGCGGCCCCCUGGACAGAUACUGACACUCAGAUGCGAAAGCGUGGGGAGCAAACAGGAUUAGAUACCCUGGUAGUCCACGCCGUAAACGAUGUCUACUUGGUAGGUUGUGGUCCUUGAGCCGUGGCUUUCGGAGCUAACGCGUUAAGUAGACCGCCUGGGGAGUACGGUCGCAAGAUUAAAACUCAAAUGAAUUGACGGGGGCCCGCACAAGCGGUGGAGCAUGUGGUUUAAUUCGAUGCAACGCGAAGAACCUUACCUACUCUUGACAUCCAGAGAAGCCAGCGGAGACGCAGGUGUGCCUUCGGGAGCUCUGAGACAGGUGCUGCAUGGCUGUCGUCAGCUCGUGUUGUGAAAUGUUGGGUUAAGUCCCGCAACGAGCGCAACCCUUAUCCUUGUUUGCCAGCGAGUAAUGUCGGGAACUCCAGGGAGACUGCCGGUGAUAAACCGGAGGAAGGUGGGGACGACGUCAAGUCAUCAUGGCCCUUACGAGUAGGGCUACACACGUGCUACAAUGGCGCAUACAGAGGGCUGCCAACCAGCGAUGGUGAGCGAAUC
Molecule: ribosomal RNA, 1279 nt
Filed under: Vibrio sp. AP401
Lineage: Bacteria; Pseudomonadati; Pseudomonadota; Gammaproteobacteria; Vibrionales; Vibrionaceae
Description: bacterial SSU rRNA
Rfam family: Bacterial small subunit ribosomal RNA
Source: RNAcentral